This 492-nucleotide ribosomal RNA is filed under the name uncultured bacterium. Its description in RNAcentral is "partial 16S ribosomal RNA". It matches the Rfam family "Bacterial small subunit ribosomal RNA", at positions 29 to 507 of the family's 1533-position model. The record is from RNAcentral.
AGUGAACGCUGGCGGUAGGCCUAACACAUGCAAGUCGAACGGCAGCACAGUAAGAGCUUGCUCUUACGGGUGGCGAGUGGCGGACGGGUGAGGAAUACAUCGGAAUCUACUUUUUCGUGGGGGAUAACGUAGGGAAACUUACGCUAAUACCGCAUACGACCUACGGGUGAAAGCAGGGGAUCUUCGGACCUUGCGCGAUUGAAUGAGCCGAUGUCGGAUUAGCUAGUUGGCGGGGUAAAGGCCCACCAAGGCGACGAUCCGUAGCUGGUCUGAGAGGAUGAUCAGCCACACUGGAACUGAGACACGGUCCAGACUCCUACGGGAGGCAGCAGUGGGGAAUAUUGGACAAUGGGCGCAAGCCUGAUCCAGCUUUACCGCGUGGGUGAAGAAGGCCUUCGGGUUGUAAAGCCCUUUUGUUGGGAAAGAAAAGCAGCAGGUUAAUACCCCGCUGUUCUGACGGUACCCAAAGAAUAAGCACCGGCUAACUUCGUG